CGGAGGGUGCAAGCGUUAUCCGGAUUUAUUGGGUUUAAAGGGUCCGUAGGCGGACUUGUAAGUCAGUGGUGAAAUCUCGCAGCUUAACUGCGAAACUGCCAUUGAUACUGCAUGUCUUGAGUAAAUUUGAAGUGGCUGGAAUAAGUAGUGUAGCGGUGAAAUGCAUAGAUAUUACUUAGAACACCAAUUGCGAAGGCAGGUCACUAAGAUUUAACUGACGCUGAUGGACGAAAGCGUGGGAGCGAACAGGAUU
RNAcentral lists this ribosomal RNA (253 nucleotides) under uncultured bacterium. Its description in RNAcentral is "partial 16S ribosomal RNA". It matches the Rfam family "Bacterial small subunit ribosomal RNA", at positions 526 to 779 of the family's 1533-position model. The record is from RNAcentral.